UACGUAGGGACCAAGCGUUGUCCGGAAUCACUGGGCGUAAAGGGCGCGUAGGCGGCCUGAUAAGUAGGGGGUGAAAUCCUGUGGCUUAACUGCAGGGCUGCCUCCUAGACUGUUAGGCUCGAGCACGGUAGAGGCAGAUGGAAUUCCCGGUGUAGGCGGUGGAAUGCGUAGAGAUCGGGAAGAACAUCGGUGGCGAAGGCGGUCUGCUGGGCCGUUGCUGACGCUGAGGCGCGACAGCGUGGGGAGCAAACAGGG
Molecule: ribosomal RNA, 255 nt
Filed under: uncultured bacterium
Lineage: Bacteria
Description: partial 16S ribosomal RNA
Rfam family: Bacterial small subunit ribosomal RNA
Source: RNAcentral